RNAcentral lists this ribosomal RNA (292 nucleotides) under uncultured bacterium. RNAcentral describes it as "partial 16S ribosomal RNA". The record is from RNAcentral.
GGACUACCCGGGUAUCUAAUCCCGUUCGCUCCCCACGCUUUCGUGCCUCAGUGUCAGAACCAGCCCAGUCACCCGUCUUCACCACCGGCAUUCCUGACGAUAUCUACGCAUUUCACCGCUCCACCGUCAGUUCUAGUGACCCCUACUGGCCUCAAGUCCGCCAGUAUCAGAAGCAGUUCCCGGGUUGAGCCCGGGGAUUUCACAACUGACUUAACGGACCACCUACGCACCCUUUAAACCCAGUGAUUCUCAGUAACGCUUGGGACCUCUGUAUUACCGCGGCUGCUGGCAC